GGGCCUUGGGGCUCUCUUCAGAAGGGGUCCCUUUUUCUCUGUCCCCUGAUGGGAAUCCAUGAGGAGGAGUUCUGAAGUCCCGGAGAAUUUAUAAAAACCGAUUCAUAAAAAUGGCAUCCUGGUUGUAUGAAUGUCUUUGUGAAGCUGAACUUGCACAGUAUUAUCCUCAUUUUACUGCCCUUGGCCUUCAGAAAAUAGAUGAAUUAGCCAAGGUUACGAUGAAAGACUACUCCAAAUUGGGAGUCCGUGACAUGAAUGACCGCAAACGUCUCUUCCAGCUGAUCAGAAUCAUUAAGAUUAUGCAAGAAGAAGAGAAGACAGUCAGCCCAGACCACCCUUUUCAGACAAGCAGCCAGUACAUUAAGACUCAGGAAUUCAGAUCUGGCCCUCGCAGACAACUACAGUUUGAUUCUCCUGUUGACAACAAAGACAGAACUGCUAGCAGAAAUGGGUUUGAAAUGCAUAAUAUGACAGAUUUCUCUGCAAAUGAACAGAAGUCCACUAAGCUGAAAGUGCUGGAACACAUGCUCCCGGAAGAUUCCCAGUACCGUACAAAAGCACGAGCUCCGAGCGCCACAGCUGCUGAGUCCUGUGUGCAAACAGAAACUAAAGCUUCACUGUUUUCAUCACAUCUCUUUUCUCCGAUACUUGGAAAUUGUGAUAUUCCCAUUAUUCAGAGAGUCUCUCAUGGUUCAGGGUAUAACUAUGGAGUCCCUCAACCUUGUAUCAGACAGAACACCUCAGAUAAAGAGAAUCCUUGGACUGAGAUGGAGAAAAUCAGAGUCUGUGUUCGAAAACGACCUCUGGGACUGAGGGAGGUACGUCGUGGAGAAAUUAAUAUUAUUACUGUAGAAGACGAAGAAACUCUACUUGUGCAUGAGAAAAAAGAAGCAGUAGACCUCACACAAUAUGUUCUGCAGCAUGUUUUUUAUUUUGAUGAAGUCUUUGGUGAGGCGUGCACCAAUCGAGAUGUCUAUUUGAAGACUACUCACCCCCUCAUUCAGCAUAUUUUCAAUGGAGGUAAUGCCACUUGCUUUGCAUAUGGACAGACAGGUGCUGGCAAAACCUACACUAUGAUAGGAACCCAUCAGAACCCAGGAUUGUAUGCUUUGGCUGCCAAAGAUAUCUUCAGACAACUGGAAGUGUCCCAGCCAAGAAGGCACCUCUUUGUGUGGAUCAGCUUCUAUGAAAUCUACUGUGGACAGCUUUAUGACCUCCUAAAUAGAAGAAAAAGGCUCUUCGCGAGAGAAGACAGCAAGCACGUGGUGCAGAUAGUGGGACUGCAAGAGCUCAGGGUGGAUACCGUGGAGCUCCUCUUAGAGGUGAUCCUGAAGGGCAGCAAGGAGCGCAGCACCGGGGCCACCGGGGUUAACGCGGAUUCCUCCCGCUCCCACGCCAUCAUUCAGAUUCAGAUCAAAGACCCAGCCAGGAGGACCUUCGGCAGGAUCUCUUUCAUUGACUUGGCUGGCAGUGAAAGAGCAGCAGAUGCCCGGGAUUCAGAUAGACAGACGAAGAUGGAAGGUGCAGAAAUAAACCAGAGUCUUCUGGCUCUGAAGGAAUGCAUCCGAGCACUGGACCAGGAGCACACCCACACUCCCUUCCGGCAGAGCAAGCUAACGCAGGUUCUGAAGGACUCUUUCAUUGGCAAUGCCAAAACUUGCAUGAUCGCUAACAUCUCACCGAGCCACGUGGCCACGGAGCACACUUUGAAUACCUUGCGCUACGCUGACCGGGUCAAAGAGCUAAAGAAAGGCAUUAAGUGCUGCACUUCAGCUUCCAGCCGAAAUCGGGUGUCUGGAAAUACCUCUCCAAAGAGGGUCCAGAGCUGUCCUGUAGCCCUGCCCGGGGACAAGUGUUCUCCAAAAAAAGUCAAGCUGGGGUUUCAGCGGGCAUUCGCAGGGACACCGGGCUCCACGCGGGGGAAGGCCCACCCUCUGGCCAGCCACCCACCCAACGUUCCUUGUGCUUCCACGCCGCAAGUCCCUGGUAGGAAGGGCAGCUCCGGAAGGAGUCCUCCUCAAGAGUGGGCCGUGCAGACUAGCCCUGUCAAAGACACCGUGCACUCUGGACUUCUGACCAAAAGAGGGGCAGAAGAAUGGGCACCGCUGUGCUCCGAGAGAAGCCAUGUGGCCAACAGGACUGCGCUUGCGUGGGCACGCAGGGCCCUAGGCCCGGCAGAAGGCCCGGCCCGUGGUAAGCUGCCCAGCAAGGGCAGGAAGGUGCAGACGGUGCAGCCGGUACAGAAGCAGCCUGUGUCGCGCGCUGAGCUCUCCUCUGGCAGCAGCCACCGCUCAGCCGCGGGCAGCCGGGGCAGCGAGGCAGGCGCACCUGCCAGGCCUGCCGCCGAUGCUUGGACAGGCAUCCCUCCGCAGCAGAGGGAAAGGGAGGAGCAUUUGCGUUUCUAUCACCAACAGUUCCAGCAGCCUCCUCUCCUCCAGCAGAAGUUAAAGUACCAGCCACUGGAAAGGUUCUUAUGCCAGUACCGGGCCCCAGCGAGUCAGCUCCAGGACGACGCGCCUCCCUCCCAGGCCUGCUCCGACAGCCCGGACGGAGCUCAAGCCGAGGACCUGGACGACAGUGACUUCAGUGAAGAUUCCUUUUCACAUGCCUCCAGCCAAAGGGCAGCAAAGCAGAGGAGCGCCCUGGAGAAGGGUGAGAGCUCGUUCUUCCUACAUCAGGACGGGGAGCAGAGUCCGGCAGGGCCGGCGGCAGGAAGGCGGCACGGUCUGCUUUUCCACUCCAGGACAGGUGGAGACGAGAAAGCUCUAACUGAAAGCUGGGUGUGCUCCGGGGACGCCCCAGGCCGUAGGAGACCAGCGUUCAGUCAUCGCCACAGCCCGGGUAAGCUGCGCCUGGACUGGAGCCGGGAGGAGAACGGCGCCGCCUCAGAGCCGCCUUCCUGCGCACGGCCCGAUCUUGUGUACGCCCAGAAAAGAAGUGGUCCAGCUGCGGACCUCAGACAGGACGCCUCCGGAAGUGAGGUUCCUGGGGAGCCUGAGGGCAGCUUGCCAUCCCUGGAAGAUGGUUCCUCUUUAUCCCACAUUGUAGUUCCUGGGUCCGCAGACCAGGGAGACACAGGUACCGCACAACUGAGAGAAGUCGGCGAAAAGAGCCCAAGCCAGGUGACCAGAACCGCAGCAGAGAAUAACCCUGUCCAAGGAGAAGGCUCCAGCGGGCAGUCCAGCACCUGCUCCGAGUGUGCUUCCGGACACAUGGCUCCCCUCACCGUAUCCCUGCUCGCGACUCCGGACGGGGACAGCCGGUCUCUGGAGCAGCCCACCCGGGACGGGGCCGUGCGCAGCCCAGGGGUGGAGGGCACGGGGGCGCCGGCUGCGGGCCACACGGCGUCACCUGGCCGCCACGAGGCAGCCUCGCGGGCCGGGCCCCUGUGGCUCUCUUCGUCUCCCCCUGACGACAGGCCAGGCGGCGCUCUUCCCGCUUUGUCCCCGUCCCCCAUCCGUUGUCAUCCACCUGACAAGCUGCCCGGUAGGGAGGCCGAGCAGAGACGGGCCUGCCCGAGCAGGGAGCCUGUGCUCCUCUCCCCGGAGCUUGUGGGCGCGGAGCAGUGUGAUGCCGAUGCUGACGAGCCGGGGCUGGAUGGCUGCUGGGGCGCCCCUGGGGAGCCCUCCUCCGCCCCACGAACUGGGCCAUGCCACUCUGGAUCUGCAGUUGCCCUGCCAGCAGGAAGUUGUGACGCGGCUGACGAGCCCUGGGGCCAGGACAGGACAUAUCCUGGGGGGCUCUGUUGGCGGGAGCUCGGUUUACCCACAGACCCCAUGAGGUUGUCUUGCGACGGUGAAGACGUCAUGUGGCUCAAGCGCAGGCCACGCUCCAGGUGCUUAGUAUCGCCAGACUCUGCCCUGGUUCCCGGCUACUCCCCCAGGACUGCGGGGACACUGUGUCAGCCCGCCCUGCAGCAAGCACAGCAGGCGGUCAUCCACGCACACCGGGAGCAGCUGGAUGAGAUGGCUGAGCUGGGCUUCAAGGAAGAGACUCUGGUGAGCCAGCUGGUUUCUAACGAGUUUGAAGAGUUCGUCACCCAGCUGGAUGAAAUCAUGGCUCUGAAAUCCAAGUGCAUCCAGAGUCUGAGGAGCCAGCUGCAGCUGUACCUCACCUACCAGAGGCCCUGAGAGGAGCGCUGUCAGAGUAAGGUCUUCCCGCAGACGGUGGGGGCGGUACAGGAGGGGCCUGCGCAGGGCUCUCGGGCUUAGCGAGCCUUGUGCCAGGUCUUCCCCGCACACACCAGAACCCGCUCCCUAGGGCCCUCCAUCCCCCCUCAGUGCAAAGCUUGGGAGCUUCUGUAAGAAAGGAUGGGCCAAGCUGAGGACCGUACUGCCCGUCCUUCUGUUUGGGGGUCAGAGAGCAUCUGCUUUACUGAUCCCACGUGGGAACACAUCUGGGGCUAAGAACUCAUACACAUCCUUAUUUUGAGAAUUAGAGAACAAGAUGGUAACCUACAGGUCAGAAGUCAGAGCCGGGUGUGGUGGCGCACGCCUGUGAUCCCAGCACUCGGGAGGCUGAGGCAGGAGGAUCGCCACAAGUUUGAGGCCAGCGUGGGCUACAUGCAGGUGUGGGGCAGGCUUUAUGCUGCCCUCCCUUGCUGCAGUGCAGCUUUGAGACAGAAGAGGGCGCUCACGUCACGCAUUUUUCUUGUGCCGUCUCCUGCUGAAGUGGCAGACUGCCGGGCUGCUUUCGGGCUCCACACUUCCCACAGCCCUUAUGGAGUAACUAACGCCACGGGAUGUCAGGCAAGUCGACGUCCUGGGCUCAUCGUCUCCCAGAACACCCUCGCUGGCCACCGUCCCACUCUCAAGGGCCUGUGUUCCGUGUCUCAGCCUGAGUGCCCGAACCACACAGAUGCCUUCAACUAGAUGUUUUUAGCAGAAAGCGUAAGGAAACAGGUGGCUAACAAGUGCCCAUCACUUUCAGAGGCUGCCUGCAUCGCCCUGAGCUUCCUGUAUCAGGCCUUGAGGCCCAUUAUCGUGUGAAGAUUUGUUUCUUUCAGGCCAACAACUUACCGGUUUUAAGGAGUUUAAUGGAGAAGGGAUAAAUGGUUCUCCAGACUGAAGCAGCCACCGUCUCGAUGGUGCUCACCCUGACCAGCAGAGGGCACCGUGCUUCCAUCUUCAGGCCCUGCACCCCUCUGCGCGUGGUCACUAACAGGAGACCCCCGCCCAGGCAAAAAGCCCCAGGGCUAACGAGGUAGUGUUAGGGCGGGAAUCUCAGGAAUGCAUUCUGUCCAGUUCAGCAGCACCACUGCAAGCUGGGGAAGUACCUUAAACCCAGUCCUGCCCACGGCACAGGGAAAAUAUAAGCCUGCUGCUGCUCACGGGAAAGAAGACUUUUCUCACUCCCUGCUUGACUCUGCUGAGGACCCAGCCCAUCCUACCGCCACGGUUGGCCUGCAGACAUCAGAACUAGGUGGCGUUUAAACAGAUCCUGGUUUGGGCCUGCCUCUGCAAACCAAAGAGCCUGAGCAGACUAGAGGGCCAGCUAGCUCUUGGGUCCCACAGGCCCAGAAUUGGAAAUACAUACUGAAAUGACAGAAAAUGGAUAGGCCCUGCUCUAACUCCGGGAAACCACAUUCCCAUUCACUGACCUCAGUAAAAUAAACACCUCUUGACAAUAAAGAAGAUACCACAGCAGGAUGUAACUUUUAGAUUUUUAUUAGUUCUCUCUGAAGAAUCAAAAUAGUUAGCAAAUUAUUUUAGAUUCAUGAAGACUGUAUAUCCUAUGUAUUUAGAUCUUUAAUGAUAUACAACAUAAUAUAAAACAAAGAAACUGGUUUCUA
Molecule: RNA transcript, 5791 nt
Organism: Chinchilla lanigera (long-tailed chinchilla)
Lineage: Eukaryota; Metazoa; Chordata; Mammalia; Rodentia; Chinchillidae
Gene: Kif24
Gene name: kinesin family member 24
Exons: 14
Source: RefSeq, a predicted model, not a curated record